Molecule: ribosomal RNA, 506 nt
Filed under: uncultured bacterium
Lineage: Bacteria
Description: bacterial SSU rRNA
Rfam family: Bacterial small subunit ribosomal RNA
Source: RNAcentral
GUUUGAUCCUGGCUCAGAGUGAACGCUGGCGGCAGGCCUAAUACAUGCAAGUCGAACGGCAGCACAGCAGAGCUUGCUCUGUGGGUGGCGAGUGGCGGACGGGUGAGGAAUACGUGGGAAUCUGCCCAGUCGUGGGGGAUAACGUAGGGAAACUUACGCUAAUACCGCAUGCGCCCUUCGGGGGAAAGCCGGGGACCUUCGGGCCUGGCGCGAUUGGAUGAGCCCACGUCGGAUUAGCUAGUUGGCGGGUAAAGGCCCACCAAGGCGACGAUCCGUAGCUGGUCUGAGAGGAUGAUCAGCCACACUGGAACUGAGACACGGUCCAGACUCCUACGGGAGGCAGCAGUAGGGAAUAUUGGACAAUGGGCGCAAGCCUGAUCCAGCCAUGCCGCGUGAGUGAAGAAGGCCCUCGGGUUGUAAAGCUCUUUUGUCCGGAAAGGAAAGCGCCGGGUUAAUACCCUGGUGUCCUGACGGUACCGGAAGAAUGAGCACCGGCUAACUUCGUG